GCGGAGCUCCACGCCUCCGUGAGGUUAACCCCUUGGCAGAAGGCAGAAUGGAAGAGAGACUGACCACUGGUGGCUGCAGAUGCUCUGGUUACUAACAGCCACAAGUCAAGUCAACGUGAUCUGGAAGCCAGGAUCAGGUCGUCCUUCCAAACAGCAGUGUCUGCAGACAGUAAACUUCGGAUCAAAGCAGCAGGGCAAAAUGAACUGCCUAAGCCCCAUGGGUCACCUAAAUGAAACAGGAAAAGACAAAUAAAGGAAAAAGAAACAGCCUUCUCAGGCGAGUGGCAAAGGCAGCAGGACAGUGGAGGGACUGUCACAUGCAUGCCACGCCCUCCCCACAGGCUGUGUGUCAGCUCUGUCACAGCAGCUGCUGCCAGGAGCACAGAGGAAAACAGGUGUCCAUGCUGGCUUUUUAUAACAGACCUGAGUAGCGAAUAGAGACUGCAAAGAAUGGGGCCAGGGCCACCAAAUAUUCUUCCCGGCCUUGGAGACCCCACCAUGCCAGGGCCUGGGCCGUUCAGUGCUUCAGUGUUUACCAAGAUCCAGAGGAUGUGGCCCCUGCAGGGACAAUGAGGAAGAGCCAGUGAUUAGAAAAGAACUCCAGAUGGAGAGCUUCACGUUGUCGGCAGAUUUAGAAAAAGCCCCUGGAAUCUGCACGGGUGGUACAGCCGGGUGCAGACUGACAAGCGAGGAAUCUUCCAUCUCAUCGCCUCAAUUUCAGGCUUCAGAGAUGCCCGGCUCUGCUGUUCAAAGAGUUUUAUUAAAAAUUUGUGAGGAGGGAAAAGAAGUCUGUGCAGGCCUGUCUGGUGCCAUUACGUCUGACACAGCACACGGAGCCGCGGAGCCGCGGACUGCCCGGGACAGCCACCGCAGGGGGGCGCACAGCAGAGGCCAUGGGAGCCCCCGGGGAAUGGUCCCAGAUGCUCUAGUCUGGUGGGGUCCCUCCAGAAUCGUGAGUCUCCAUAUGUGACCCAGUGUAUACUUCCAGUCCUUAGACCACCAGCAUUCCAGUCAGAAGACAAACACCCACGGAUCCCAACGUUGAACUUGUCCCCUCGGUAUAACUUCUGCUACUGCUCCUCUCAUGAGCAAAACUCCCUUCUCUGAUCAUUUUCUCUGUAAACCUAGAUCGAGCGACACACUGCCAGCAGCUCCUCUGCAGCUAUGAAGUGUGGCAUGAAUCCAGCCUUCCCUGAAGCUGGGCGCUGCCACGCGGAUUGCAAUCUAGACAACGUCUGGAUCCCCCACAUUCUGGGCACAGACCUCACAAGACCCUUAAAGGCAGGGAUUCGCCUGACGGGCAGCCUGGCUGGUGUGCUCCAUAAGAAGGAGGGCUGGGUCCCCGGAAGGGAGUCAGUGCAGCCAGACAAGCUGCCUUAUCCCAUGCAGAUUUUUCUGGUUGCCAGGAGAGGUCUCCAGCCUGGAGUGGCCCUGCUGAAAGACACCCAGUGGAGCUCCGUGAAGGUUUGGGAUGAAUGAGGACGUGGGAGGGAGCGUACCGCGUAGCAGCAGCACAGAAGGAGCGUAGGCUCAAGAAUCUUCUCCCAGAACAUGUAAUCUUACAGUUCACUUAAUAGCGCAUACCUUAGGCCUCUCAUCUUCCUAAGAGGUUGGUUUCAGCUCACUCACCACGUGAGGAGACCCUCGAGGUCUGCUCCAUGGCAGAUCAUAAUUAGGGUCUGACUUGGGCAACAAACGGUAUCAGGGCCUUUUCAGAAUUGUAUUUCCUAACAGAGAGAAGUUCCUCCUUUGGUGAAAGGCAUCGCGGCAGAGCCAAUGGUUGAGGGGGACCCGUUGUUUUCUUAGGGGGCAUUUUAUCUCCUCUCUGGAAAGUAUCGCAGAGCUCCCCAUCAGAGUGAUCGUGCCUCCCCACCUCUCAUUCUCCCUCACCCCAGACACAGACACACACACGCACAUGGACACACACUUCCAAGCCCCUUCACUGACUGGGAUGUCCUUUUUCUUUAACGUACACAGAAGAUGAGAAUAGUGUUGACAAAUAAAAAUGGCAAGCAAUAGGAUAUAUUGGAGAAUAUGAGGAAGCCAUUUGGUAUAAAUCUGAUUCGGCCUGACCUUGUCUUUCCAAAAGGGCCUGACCGAGGCCGUUGAGCACGCUUUGUAUAUCUGCUUUAGAGAUUCCCUAUGGCAAGAGCAAAAGGCCCUUGAGGUAAAGGUGCAACUUCC
This 2184-nucleotide long non-coding RNA is filed under the name Equus asinus (donkey). RNAcentral's name for it is "lncRNA (ENSEASG00005032357.1)". The record is from RNAcentral. Lineage: Eukaryota; Metazoa; Chordata; Mammalia; Perissodactyla; Equidae.